RNAcentral lists this ribosomal RNA (403 nucleotides) under bacterium. Its description in RNAcentral is "partial 16S ribosomal RNA". It matches the Rfam family "Bacterial small subunit ribosomal RNA", at positions 355 to 776 of the family's 1533-position model. The record is from RNAcentral.
UGGGGAAUAUUGCACAAUGGAGGGAACUCUGAUGCAGCGACGCCGCGUGAACGAAGAAGGCUUUCGAGUCGUAAAGUUCUUUUAUAUGGGAAGAUAAUGACGGUACCAUAAGAAAAAGCCCCGGCUAACUACGUGCCAGUAGCCGCGGUAAUACGUAGGGGGCUAGCGUUGUCCGGAAUCACUGGGCGUAAAGGGUUCGCAGGCGGAAAUGCAAGUCAGGUGUAAAAGGCAGUAGCUUAACUACUGUAAGCAUUUGAAACUGCAUAUCUUGAGAAGAGUAGAGGUAAGUGGAAUUUUUAGUGUAGCGGUGAAAUGCGUAGAUAUUAAAAAGAAUACCGGUGGCGAAGGCGACUUACUGGGCUCAUUCUGACGCUGAGGAACGAAAGCGUGGGUAGCAAACAGG